UACGAAGGGGGCUAGCGUUGCUCGGAAUCACUGGGCGUAAAGGGUGCGUAGGCGGGUCUUUAAGUCAGGGGUGAAAUCCUGGAGCUCAACUCCAGAACUGCCUUUGAUACUGAGGAUCUUGAGUUCGGGAGAGGUGAGUGGAACUGCGAGUGUAGAGGUGAAAUUCGUAGAUAUUCGGAAGAACACCAGUGGCGAAGGCGGCUCACUGGACUGGUAUUGACGCUGAGGUGCGAAAGCGUGGGGAGCAAACAGG
Molecule: ribosomal RNA, 253 nt
Filed under: uncultured bacterium
Lineage: Bacteria
Description: partial 16S ribosomal RNA
Rfam family: Bacterial small subunit ribosomal RNA
Source: RNAcentral